Saccostrea echinata is the source of this 637-nucleotide long non-coding RNA. RefSeq lists it as uncharacterized. NCBI's taxonomy places the organism in Eukaryota, Metazoa, Mollusca, Bivalvia, Ostreida, Ostreidae. The transcript is spliced from 6 exons. The record is from RefSeq and is a predicted model, not a curated record.
UGGGUCGGGUUAUUUAGCCAACCAAAAUGGCAGUACAGGCUCCGACCGAGGACUGAGGAAGCUUAGGAUGACUAAUAAGAAUGGUUGCGGCGAGUGUUUUGUUGUGGAAGUAUUAGAAGAAUGUGUAAGAAACAUACGGUGCUCAUGAUGCAACUUCCUGGAUGGUGUGUAAAUUGUUUAUCAGCAUGUGAAAUCCACAUGAUUGAAGGAGAAGUCUUCCUUGUUAAAGAUCAGCAACGGCAGAUAAACAAUUCAUGAUGCAAUCUGCUCACUAAAAAGAUUACACCAAUACAUCCCAUGACAUGUAUUUCUACCUGUCACCUAUGUAACCUUUGUCAUGCUCUUCAGAGAGUCAUCGACAGGAAAAGGAAUUACCGGUAAGUUGACAGGACUUUCCACACUGUUUCUGGUAGCAGCUUAUGAUUGAAUUGAUGGUAGAAGACGUGGCCCACUUAAUCAAAGAUAAUCUGUAUAGAGUGGCACCUUAACCACCACUGGUGAAAUAGAUGACUAGUGGAUGGUCAUCACUUUGCAGCUCACUUUCACUUUCUGCAGCCCAUCUCUUCUCAUCCACAAUCAUUGUCUUUGGAGGAAUGGUGACAGUGCAGUCCUCAUGGCUGGGCAGGUCUACUGCAUG